CCUACGGGUGGCUGCAGUAGGGAAUAUUGGUCAAUGGACGCAAGUCUGAACCAGCCAUGCCGCGUGCAGGAAGACGGCCCUCUGGGUUGUAAACUGCUUUUGAUAGGGAACAAAUGCCACUUGCGAGUGGAGCUGAGUGUACCUAUAGAAUAAGCACCGGCUAACUCCGUGCCAGCAGCCGCGGUAAUACGGAGGGUGCAAGCGUUGUCCGGAUUUAUUGGGUUUAAAGGGUGCGUAGGCGGCUCAUUAAGUCAGUGGUGAAAGCCUCCAGCUUA
RNAcentral lists this ribosomal RNA (275 nucleotides) under uncultured bacterium. RNAcentral describes it as "partial 16S ribosomal RNA". It matches the Rfam family "Bacterial small subunit ribosomal RNA", at positions 338 to 611 of the family's 1533-position model. The record is from RNAcentral.